AGGCUGCAACUUUACCUUAGAGACGUUUUGGUCCCCAGGCAGCCGCCGUACCCCAGUCUCUCCAAACCGGGAUUCCCCUUUGGCCAUCUCUCAUUCUUUCAAUUCUAAAGAUGGAGACUGGCGAACGGCGAUGGGGUCUGCGGUGGGCGGUGUUUCGUCGCGACAGACUCUAGGAAAUUUCACGAUAGAACUAGCUUUAGGCGCUUGAGCCUUGCCGUCUUUUUGGGGUGUGGCCUGUCUCCGUCUGCCAAAGGCUUUGAGCUUCCUGGUGUUCAUCGUACCUCCGCUUGGUCCUGUCGUGACUAAACCACGACAGCAGGAAAAAAAAAAAAGCAGCUAGCCAAGUUGCUGAGGAAUUACGGUGUGCAGAGCCCUCGCAGCUCCUUCUCUUGGGAACUCCUGGUCUGGUUAGGUUCUCAGCGAGGAAACAGCCUCCCACCCCGCCCGAUUCCACCUAAUUAACUCAAGGGCCAGCUCCUUUUGCUGGCCUCCCUGCUUCCACGGAGCAGUUAGGCCCGCCUAAACUCAGCGAGCGUUUCUGGAGCACCUUGAGGAUAGGGACCAAGUAACAGAGUCCGGGUGUUAAGGUUAUGAUAGUAGUUAACGUUUUUGGAAAGAGACUGUGUCAGGCUCUGUGCUAAGAACUUUACAUGAAGUAUUUAUUCCUCAUGACUGUGAGCUCCUCUAGGACACUGAAAAAGCAUCCUAACAUGCUCAAGACAGGAUAGGAAAUGGUCCUCUGGCUUGAAAGACUCAGCAUCCAGAAGUAGUACCUCACUCUCCAUCCAGUGGUCACCCCCCAGAAAUGUGCUCUCCCUGUCUCACCAGGCCCUACCCACCUGCCUGGGAGCUGCCUGCCUCUUGAUGUGCUGACACCUGCUCCUGCUGCUGCUGCUGCUGCUGCUGCUGUUGCUGCUGCUGCUGCUGUUGCCGUUCUCUCAAGGGCUGGCGGAACUGAGCAGCCCCCAGGACAACAUUCCGGAGCUUGGCCCAGCGCAGACGCCCACCUGGUGUGCCAGACGGCCACUUGCUUUCCAACACAGCCUACCAAGCACAGUGCCCAUCAGGAUGGCCUACCUCGACACCCUAACCCUGCCUCAUACCCACUCCCUGUCUUGGAGCCCCAGGGACCGCCCUUCCCCUGCAGACAUCCUGUCUAGGACUGUCCGGCCAAUGGCUCAGCCAGGAACAAGAGCCCAGAAGAGACAGUAGGCAGCAGCUGCCUCCCAAGGGGCCUAGAAGAACCCAGAGGCAGUGGAGAAAAUUUGUACCCAGACCUUGCUGCUUAGAAAUAUAAAAUAUAUGGCUCUGAAGAAAUCAUUUCA
Long non-coding RNA from Homo sapiens (human), 1325 nucleotides. The record is from Ensembl. NCBI's taxonomy places the organism in Eukaryota, Metazoa, Chordata, Mammalia, Primates, Hominidae.